CACACGCAGGGUUCGGGCCCGCCGGGGGAGACAUCCCCGUCCGGCCCCUCCGGUGUCCAUGGGAUCGACCCAUGGAUCGCUAACCCUGCGGCGGAUCAACCGGAAAAGGAGACAGGA
This 117-nucleotide small RNA is filed under the name Rhodothalassium salexigens DSM 2132. RNAcentral's name for it is "rpsB sRNA". It matches the Rfam family "rpsB sRNA". The record is from Rfam by way of RNAcentral. Lineage: Bacteria; Pseudomonadati; Pseudomonadota; Alphaproteobacteria; Rhodothalassiales; Rhodothalassiaceae.